Non-coding RNA from Phalacrocorax carbo (great cormorant), 568 nucleotides. Lineage: Eukaryota; Metazoa; Chordata; Aves; Suliformes; Phalacrocoracidae. The record is from RefSeq and is a predicted model, not a curated record.
UUCAGGCUCUGCACUGCCCCGUGGGCACCAUUUAAAGCUCCCCGUGGAGAAGAGUCAAUUGAGAGUGAGUAGCUGGAGGAAGCAAUUUAGCUUAUUACUUCCAGCACAAACUCAGCAUGUGGAAGCUGCAGCCAGGAGAGGCAAAAACAGCGAACACGGUACAGGUCAGACGCUGCUGGAUGCCUGUGGGAACGGAUGUUUACUCAAAAGAAUAAAAGCCGUACGUGGGACCCUCAAGUCUCUUCAUUAAAGGGGAACAAACAUUUGCAGUCUGUUUGUGUUGCCCCAGCACCAAGAAAGGACAGUGGGACCCACUCCGUACUUACAUUAAGCUACAUUAUCCUGGUCUCGCUAAAGGUGAAAGCCAGCAGCAAUACAACAAAAGCAUCAUGAGGGGACGAAGGAGCAGUGGGCGCAGGAGGUUUGCAUUAGAGGGCAAAUUGUUAAGCCACAAUUGAUCCCAGAGCCCUGAGGAGCAAGACCUGUGAGCGUGAGCACAUGUGCAUGGGACAGGGGGCUUAGGCUACUGUAAAAUGGUUGUACACAGUAAACAGCAUUUUGGCUGCAA